This 301-nucleotide ribosomal RNA is filed under the name uncultured bacterium. RNAcentral's name for it is "partial 16S ribosomal RNA". It matches the Rfam family "Bacterial small subunit ribosomal RNA", at positions 510 to 808 of the family's 1533-position model. The record is from RNAcentral.
AGUAGCCGCGGUAAUACAGAGGGUGCGAGCGUUAAUCGGAUUUACUGGGCGUAAAGCGUGCGUAGGCGGCUUUUUAAGUCGGAUGUGAAAUCCCUGAGCUUAACUUAGGAAUUGCAUUCGAUACUGGGAAGCUAGAGUAUGGGAGAGGAUGGUAGAAUUCCAGGUGUAGCGGUGAAAUGCGUAGAGAUCUGGAGGAAUACCGAUGGCGAAGGCAGCCAUCUGGCCUAAUACUGACGCUGAGGUACGAAAGCAUGGGGAGCAAACAGGAUUAGAUACCCGUGUAGUCCCUGUCUCUUAUACA